GCAGGUAGAAGCCUAACAGUUGCAUACAAAGACCUCAAAAGUAAUACUGAUUUCUUAUACAUCAUAUGCAAAGUAUUGCUUGAUCUUCUGCUGCCCGAACAGUUAUCCCUUAACCUCCUACUCUCAUAUUGCACUAUCCACCUCUCUAUAAUUUUUUCAGUCUUAGCCUCACAUCCUAAUUCUUCCUGAUCAGAAUUCCAACUAAAAGGACACCGCUCCUUUGAGGAAAUAUUCCUACCAAAAUCCUUUUUUGGGGAACAAUUUACAGGGUCCCAAACAAGUGGUCUCUGCACCAAAAUCACAUCAAUAACCAUUGGUUCUAGAUUGCUCUGGCGCCAGAUAUCAGGAUUCUCAAGAGCA
RNAcentral lists this unclassified non-coding RNA (360 nucleotides) under Hevea brasiliensis (rubber tree). The record is from RNAcentral. Lineage: Eukaryota; Viridiplantae; Streptophyta; Magnoliopsida; Malpighiales; Euphorbiaceae.